Molecule: ribosomal RNA, 484 nt
Filed under: uncultured bacterium
Lineage: Bacteria
Description: partial 16S ribosomal RNA
Rfam family: Bacterial small subunit ribosomal RNA
Source: RNAcentral
AUUGGACGCUGGCGGCAGGCCUAACACAUGCCAGUCGAGCGGAUGAAGGGAGCUUGCUCCUGGAUUCAGCGGCGGACGGGUGAGUAAUGCCUAGGAAUCUGCCUGGUAGUGGGGGAUAACGUCCGGAAACGGGCGCUAAUACCGCAUACGUCCUGAGGGAGAAAGUGGGGGAUCUUCGGACCUCACGCUAUCAGAUGAGCCUAGGUCGGAUUAGCUAGUUGGUGGGGUAAAGGCCUACCAAGGCGACGAUCCGUAACUGGUCUGAGAGGAUGAUCAGUCACACUGGAACUGAGACACGGUCCAGACUCCUACGGGAGGCAGCAGUGGGGAAUAUUGGACAAUGGGCGAAAGCCUGAUCCAGCCAUGCCGCGUGUGUGAAGAAGGUCUUCGGAUUGUAAAGCACUUUAAGUUGGGAGGAAGGGCAGUAAGUUAAUACCUUGCUGUUUUGACGUUACCAACAGAAUAAGCACCGGCUAACUACGUG